UCUCAGUUCGGAUUGGAGUCUGCAACCCGACUCCAUGAAGCUGGAUUCGCUAGUAAUCGCGCAUCAGCCACGGCGCGGUGAAUACGUUCCCGGGCCUUGUACACACCGCCCGUCAAGCCAUGGAAGCCGGGAGUGCCUGAAGUGCGUGACCGCAAGGAGCGCCCUAAGGCAAUACCGGUGACUGGGGCUAAGUCGUAACAAGGUAUC
This 207-nucleotide ribosomal RNA is filed under the name uncultured bacterium. RNAcentral's name for it is "partial 16S ribosomal RNA". It matches the Rfam family "Bacterial small subunit ribosomal RNA", at positions 1286 to 1500 of the family's 1533-position model. The record is from RNAcentral.